GGCUGGUCCGAGCGCAGUGGCAUUUACAACUAAUUGAUCACAGCUAGUUACAGAUUGUUUCUUCUCCACUCCCAACUGCUUCACUUGACUAGCCUUAA
This is an unclassified non-coding RNA of Microcebus murinus (gray mouse lemur), 98 nucleotides long. It matches the Rfam family "Y RNA". From Rfam's summary of the family: Y RNAs are components of the Ro ribonucleoprotein particle (Ro RNP), in association with Ro60 and La proteins. The Y RNAs and Ro60 and La proteins are well conserved, but the function of the Ro RNP is not known. The record is from Ensembl. Lineage: Eukaryota; Metazoa; Chordata; Mammalia; Primates; Cheirogaleidae.